RNAcentral lists this ribosomal RNA (253 nucleotides) under uncultured bacterium. RNAcentral's name for it is "partial 16S ribosomal RNA". It matches the Rfam family "Bacterial small subunit ribosomal RNA", at positions 524 to 776 of the family's 1533-position model. The record is from RNAcentral.
UACGUAGGGCGCGAGCGUUGUCCGGAUUUAUUGGGCGUAAAGAGCUCGUAGGCGGUCUGUUGCGUCUGCUGUGAAAACCCGGGGCUUAACCCCUGGCUUGCAGUGGAUACGGACAGACUAGAGGUAGGUAGGGGAGAAUGGAAUUCCCGGUGUAGCGGUGAAAUGCGCAGAUAUCGGGAGGAACACCGGUGGCGAAGGCGGGUCUCUGGGCCGAAACUGACGCUGAGGAGCGAAAGCGUGGGGAGCGAACAGG